This 484-nucleotide ribosomal RNA is filed under the name uncultured bacterium. RNAcentral's name for it is "partial 16S ribosomal RNA". It matches the Rfam family "Bacterial small subunit ribosomal RNA", at positions 30 to 507 of the family's 1533-position model. The record is from RNAcentral.
AUUGAACGCUAGCGGGAUGCUUUACACAUGCAAGUCGAACGGCAGCGCGGACUUCGGUCUGGCGGCGAGUGGCGAACGGGUGAGUAAUGUAUCGGAACGUGCCCAGUAGCGGGGGAUAACUACGCGAAAGCGUAGCUAAUACCGCAUACGCCCUACGGGGGAAAGCAGGGGAUCGUAAGACCUUGCACUAUUGGAGCGGCCGAUAUCGGAUUAGCUAGUUGGUGAGGUAACGGCUCACCAAGGCGACGAUCCGUAGCUGGUUUGAGAGGACGACCAGCCACACUGGGACUGAGACACGGACCAGACUCCUACGGGAGGCAGCAGUGGGGAAUUUUGGACAAUGGGGGCAACCCUGAUCCAGCCAUCCCGCGUGUGCGAUGAAGGCCUUCGGGUUGUAAAGCACUUUUGGCAGGAAAGAAACGUCGCGGGCUAAUACCCCGUGGAACUGACGGUACCUGCAGAAUAAGCACCGGCUAACUACGUG